UUCAAAAAGGGCUCCAAUCCUAUCUUUCUUUCACUUAUGCUUUCUCAUUCUCCUUAUUCUCGCUCUCAUCAUUAAUAGUUUUCACAUUAUCACCAUUAGCAACAAGUUUGUGGAUAACGUUCAUAUUCAUGUUAAUGAAGGCUUAUACACCUACUUCGCAUUUUUAGAGCUGUUCGCAUUCUUCAUAUUGUUCCUCUGUACUGCAUUUUAUUUCUCAACAGUCUUUAAAACUUCUCAUCCUCUACCUUUUUGAGUUUAGGUAUCAUUAUUAGUCUGUCUUCCUGUUGUCAGUAGCUUUCUCAACCCUUUAAUUUUUAAUGAUUUUCGUAGAAGCAUUCUUCUUGUUUUUCUCCUUUUCAUUAAACUUGCAGUCUUGAAUAACGUGAUCUUGGUAUUCACAGUGAGAGUAAUGCUUUGAAAUAGACUCAUCUUCAACAAAUUGGGCAAAUCAACCAAGGGAGUUCCUUUCUUCAUCAAAAGCGCCCACCCAAUUAGGUGGGUAAUGGACUUCAGAAAUCAACUCACUCAUCUUGACCAUAAGAGCUCAGGUACAACAAGGGCCAACGAAGGGUAUUCCGGGCAAUUUUGAGUGAUCCCGAGGCUGUGUACGUCGAUUGAACGUUGCGAAGGAAGUUCCAGCACUUGAAGGCAAAAUCUGACCACUGAAGGGUCUCAUGCGCCGCACAGCCAGCGCACAAAAACACCAUUCCUGAAUCUCAGACAGACUAUGCGCUCGUCAUGCGCCGCACAAGAAGAACAUAAAGGAGGUUAUGCGCUGGCCAUGCAACGCACAGCCAGCGCACAAGCAACGUCAGUUGUCCUAUUUAGAUCGGGAUUGGGCCCACUUAUUGAUAUUUGCCCUAGCUUAUAAAUAGUCGUUUUUACAUUAGAAUAGAGGACUUUUGACCUAGAGAGAGUAGGAGCCGCCGUGGAGGCCGGAGAUUAUUGGGUUUUAUCUUUUCUUCUCCUUAUUACUAGUUUGUAUAUUUUCUUUGAAUGAUUUGUUGCUUUUCCUCCAUGUCUAUGUGGAGCUAAACGUCUCGUUCCAGGGUAGUAGUAAACCAU
This is a long non-coding RNA of Lycium barbarum (goji berry), 1065 nucleotides long. RefSeq lists it as uncharacterized. The record is from RefSeq and is a predicted model, not a curated record. The transcript is spliced from 2 exons. NCBI's taxonomy places the organism in Eukaryota, Viridiplantae, Streptophyta, Magnoliopsida, Solanales, Solanaceae.